CAGUCGCCGCGGUAAUACGUAUGUCACAAGCGUUAUCCGGAUUUAUUGGGCGUAAAGCGCGUCUAGGCGGUUAAUUAAGUCUGAUGUGAAAAUGCGGAGCUCAACUCCGUAUUGCGUUGGAAACUGGUUAACUAGAGUACUGGAGAGGUAAGCGGAACUACAAGUGUAGAGGUGAAAUUCGUAGAUAUUUGUAGGAAUGCCGAUGGGGAAGCCAGCUUACUGGACAGAUACUGACGCUAAAGCGCGAAAGCGUGGGUAGCAAACAGGAUUAGAGACCCCCGUAGUCCCUGUCUCUUAUACA
This 301-nucleotide ribosomal RNA is filed under the name uncultured bacterium. RNAcentral describes it as "partial 16S ribosomal RNA". It matches the Rfam family "Bacterial small subunit ribosomal RNA", at positions 509 to 808 of the family's 1533-position model. The record is from RNAcentral.